RNAcentral lists this ribosomal RNA (489 nucleotides) under uncultured bacterium. Its description in RNAcentral is "bacterial SSU rRNA". It matches the Rfam family "Bacterial small subunit ribosomal RNA", at positions 29 to 477 of the family's 1533-position model. The record is from RNAcentral.
AACGAACGCUGGCGGCGUGGAUUAGGCAUGCAAGUCGAACGAGAAUCUGAAGGUCCAAGUUUUCGGACAAGGACUUUUGGAGGACAGUGGCGGAAGGGUGAGUACAACAUGGAUAAUCUACCUUCAAGUUGGGUAUAACUCCUCGAAAGGGGAGAUAAUCCCGAAUGUGGUGAUCCGGCGCAUGCCGGAGAAUCCAAAGGCGGGGACCGCAAGGCCUGUCGCUUGAAGAUGAGUCCGUGCACUAUCAGCUAGUUGGCGGGGUAACGGCCCACCAAGGCUAUGACGGUUAGCUGGUCUGAGAGGAUGGUCAGCCACACUGGGACUGAGAUACUGCCCAGACUCCUACGGGAGGCUGCAGUCGAGAAUCAUUCGCAAUGGGCGAAAGCCUGACGGUGCGACGUCGCGUGGAGGAUGAAGGUCUUCGGAUUGUAAACUCCUGUCAUGAGGGAUAAAUGGCCAGGGCACGAAUAGUGCCUUGGAAUGAUAGUA